UACUCGAGUGGCGAACGGGUGAGUAACACGUGGGUGAUCUGCCCUGCACUUUGGGAUAAGCCUGGGAAACUGGGUCUAAUACCGAAUACACCUUGCUGGAUGCAUGUCUGGUGGGGGAAAGCUUUUGCGGUGUGGGAUGGGCCCGCGGCCUAUCAGCUUGUUGGUGAGGUUACGGCUCACCAAGGCGACGACGGGUAGCCGGCCUGAGAGGGUGUCCGGCCACACUGGGACUGAGAUACGGCCCAGACUCC
Molecule: ribosomal RNA, 251 nt
Filed under: uncultured bacterium
Lineage: Bacteria
Description: partial 16S ribosomal RNA
Rfam family: Bacterial small subunit ribosomal RNA
Source: RNAcentral